UACGUAGGGGCGAGCGUUGUCCGGAGUGACUGGGCGUAAAGAGUUGCGUAGGCGGUUAUGUAAGUGAAUAGUGAAAGCUGGUGGCUCAACCAUACAGACUAUUAUUCAAACUACAUAACUCGAGAAUGGUAGAGGCAACUGGAAUUUCUUGUGUAGGAGUGAAAUCCGUAGAUAUAAGAAGGAACACCAAUGGCGUAGGCAGGUUACUGGACCAUUUCUGACGCUAAGGCACGAAAGCGUGGGGAGCGAACCGGAUUAGAUACCCCGUGUAGU
This 273-nucleotide ribosomal RNA is filed under the name uncultured prokaryote. RNAcentral describes it as "partial 16S ribosomal RNA". It matches the Rfam family "Bacterial small subunit ribosomal RNA", at positions 524 to 794 of the family's 1533-position model. The record is from RNAcentral.